GUGCUAGUCUAGCUGACACGACAAGAUUACACUACCGGGACAUAUGCAUCAGCGCACAUGGCGCUAAAGCGUGAUUUUAUCAUGCUACCCAGACUGGUGCGAAAAUAUAAAAUAAAAAGGGAUUAGAAAAAAAUGCCUCGGGCUUUGCAAGUGCAACGUCUCAUUACGGUCCUAUCGUGUCACGUGACCAAACUUCUGGAUUUACGGCUUAAUAAGAAUGUACACUAUACUAGUACACGGUUGGUAUAUUGUAAAAUCAUGUACUACCAAAACAGAGUCAUUGCUAGCACAUUUGCAGGAGUUGUAAGUGUAACGGCCGUAUCAUAUCGCAAGUUGCAGGAGCUGUACAUAGCUAGGUUUUGUUUAG
This 367-nucleotide long non-coding RNA is filed under the name Sorghum bicolor (sorghum). RNAcentral describes it as "long non-coding RNA (SBIC_LNC009462)". The record is from RNAcentral. Lineage: Eukaryota; Viridiplantae; Streptophyta; Magnoliopsida; Poales; Poaceae.